RNAcentral lists this ribosomal RNA (522 nucleotides) under Mariorajchenbergia rhododendri. Its description in RNAcentral is "SSU rRNA". It matches the Rfam family "Bacterial small subunit ribosomal RNA", at positions 348 to 942 of the family's 1533-position model. Lineage: Eukaryota; Fungi; Basidiomycota; Agaricomycetes; Polyporales; Polyporaceae. The record is from RNAcentral.
UCAGCAGUCAAAAAUAUUAGUCAAUGCUCGUAAGAGUGAACUAGCUAACUGAAAUCAAAGAGUUUAUUUAAACUCAUGAUGUCGUAAGGGAAAAUAAUGAUAAUACCUUACUAUGAGUGUCGUCCAAAUCUGGUGCCAGAAGACUCGGUAAGACCAGAGACGCAAACGUUAAUCAUCAUAAUCAGGCGUAAAGGGUUUGUAGGCAGCUUUAACCUUAUCUAAGGAGAGCUAGAAUCAAAAAGAGGUUAUAGUGUAUAACGCCUAGAGGAGGGCUGAUAUCCAUAGAUCCUAGGCAGAAUACUCAGGGCGAAGGCCACUCUCCAGUAAUGAUUGACGCUGAGAAACGAAGGUUAGGGUAGGAAAUAGGAUUAGAUACCCCGGUACUCCUUUCUGUAAACGAUGAAUGGUAGUCAUUAGUUCUAACUAGAGACGAAGUUAACACAAUAACCAUUCCGCCUUGUGAGUACUACUGCAAAGUAGAAAACAAAAAAAUAGCAGUUAGUCAAGAAUUUUGGUUUCUGU